CAUUUAUUUAAAUUUAUAGCUAUAUUUUAUUGUACUGUGUAUGGUAUAAAUAUUACAAGCAUGUUAAAUAAUAUUUCUAAAAAGGAUACAUAUACAAAUUCGUUGACAUAUGAAAAUGUAGAAAAGGUUAUAUCAGACAUUGUAAAAAAAAAAAAUAUAUAUAAACACACAGAUAAUCAAACACCUAUAUCUAGAUAUAAAAAAAGUGUUAAUAAUUUAUGCAAAAAUUUUAGUAUUUUUAAAAAUUAUAUGUUUUAUAAUUAUAAUGACAUAUUAUUAAAUAGACCAAAUAAUUUAAUAAAAGAAAAUAAAAUGGAAGAAAAGAAAAUGGAAGAAAAGAAAAUGAAAGAAAAGAAAAUGUCUCAUUGUAAUCAACAACGGAAUAAUAGUGUUACUUUGAGUGACUAUAUUGUUGAUAAUAAAGAAUUUGUUUUAAUUGGCAUGUGUGAUUUUUUUAAUAAUUUGAUUUGUUCUGUAAAUAAAACUCAAUUAUGUGGUAAUGAUGUAGAAUUUGUGUCUGAACAUGGGCAUCAGCCUGAGCAUGAGAGUAAGCAUGAGAAUGAGCGUGAGGAUGAGCAUAAACCUGAGUAUAACAAUGAGCAUAAACCUGAGCAUGAGAAUGAGCCUGUAGUUUCAAAGACAUGGCCAGGAGGUGUAGAUGAUAAUGGCGCAACUGAUGGAAUAGGCGAAAGAGGAGUGACAAUAGACAACAGCGCGAACAUGUUAGAAAAGGAUAAAGAUAGUCCUUAUGGUAAUAUUAACUUAACAACAAAAACAAAUGAUUAUCUUUUUUUUUCACUGUUAUCAAACAAUUUAAUCGAAUUAUAUAAUCUUAUGAAAAUAUUAUUUGUUAUAAAACUGGACAAAACAAAUAUAACGACCUUACAAAUUGAAAAUGAUAUAACAACUGAAGAGUUAAUUAAAUUAUAUAAUUUUUAUUUUGAUAAAAAAAAUGAUAUCGAUCAUAAUGUAGAACCAUAUCUAAAUAAGUAUAAUUUCCAUUUUGAUGAACAAGAACAGCUAAAAAAUUUAAACAAAAAAAUAAAAAAACAGUAUGGAAGUGGCAGAGGAAAUGGAAACGGAAAUGGGAACAGCGACGGAAAUGGGAACAGAGACGGAGACGAAAAAGACAAUAUAUCUACGUUCAUACCAAUAAAUAAUACCGUUUUUCCUCUUUACACAUUAAACAAAAAUAUGAAUGAGAACUUAUUUUACUUUUUUCAUAAAAUGAAUUUAAAAAAAAACAAUUUAAAUAACAUGUGUGAUAUUUAUUAUAUAUAUAAAUGGCAAAGAAAAGAAAAUUAUUUUUUUUUAUUAAUAAAAACAAUUUUAAAAAAUAAUUAUUUUUAUUACCUCAAUAAUGUAUUUACCACAUUACAUAAUAUAUUUUAUUUAUCGAAACGGAAGCAAAAAUAUAUAUUUGUUGAUACAAAAAUUGAUGAUUAUAUUAACAACACCUUCUUUGAUAUAUAUAAUGAUUAUAAAAUAAAAAAUAUAGAAAAAUUAAAUUAUGCUUCAAUAUGGAGUUAUAUUGAAAAGAGACAGGAAGUGUUACAAAAAUAUAUAAAAAAAAAAAAAAAUAAAAUAAUCACAACCAAAAAUAAUCAAACGAUGUAUAUUAAUAAAAAAAAUCGAGAGUGAAUGUGUGAAUACAUUAAAAUGUAAUAGAAAAAUUAAUAAUACCACAGAAAAGAAAAAUAAUAAACAUUUGUUGAUGAACGAAAAGGGGGAAACA
Molecule: long non-coding RNA, 1735 nt
Organism: Piliocolobus tephrosceles (Ugandan red Colobus)
Lineage: Eukaryota; Metazoa; Chordata; Mammalia; Primates; Cercopithecidae
Source: Ensembl